AAUUUUUCUUACUUUCACAAAAACGAAUCCAAAUUUCUCAUACUACCAAAAUCGGACCCAAAUUCUACGUGCAAAUAAGCGAGAUCUCUUAUUCCCUACUUUAUUUUGUUCAGUAUAUUAAAAAGGAUCACCUGCGUGGGAAUUCCUGAUUCGACCUGCGUAGAACGUUUUUCAAGAUAGAGCAGGUAGACCGGAACUCAUCACGCUCGGAUGGAGAAAAUAAAUCAUAAUAGAAACCAUCAAUGCAUUAUAUCUUAAAUACAAAAUAAAAGUGUGCGAUGAAUUUCAGUAGAAAAUUUACGCCAAAUUUUUAUACGUUUACUCUCGCAUGCACGCAAUUUUUAUAUCAUAUAUAUUUUUGAAUUGAUGUAGAAUUUUUAAGCAGGAAAUAUGUAGUUAUUUGAGAAAUCUGCUAGGCUUCAUGAUCAAUUUGCAGCUGACGGGGUAAACUGGGUGCAAAAAACCGUGAAAAAUAUUUCUUCAUUUUAAAAGUUCAGCUUUCUGGUCGCUGCCUCGCCGCCUCAUAAACACGAAAUUUGCUUGUAUGCCAAAAAUAGAUCAAUUCAUCCACUUGGGCUACGAGGAGCAAUGUCGUUUGCUUUGGAUAUAAGAAACACUUUAUCAGAGGCCCGCUAAACCUUGCUAACCGCCACUUCUUUAAUUGUUAUAUUCACAGUCAUCAUCCAAGGUGGUGGCGCAAAUUUUUUACUUAACUGGCUAAAAAUACUGUAAGUUUCUGGAGAUAGUACGCGGAAAAAGUGUUUUGUUUUUUAUUUUCGUCGACGUGCGCAGUCUUUCUUACCGAUAAAUCUCAAAUCUGUUGCUAACCCAGCAUUACAUUGAUACGGCAUUGAAUUUCUUUCGUAUGGCAUUAAUACGUCUUUUAACUCGUGACCGUAAAAGUACACAUAUAUAUACGGCAUGUGUGUACAUUACUUGUCGCUUCGAAGGCACAUCACAUUUAUUGAUUGACAUAAUAAUAAUAAUUCUACAGCCUAUUGUGUCACAUACGUCUAACUUGGACCAAUUUGUGAGAUACAAUAACACUUACAAUUUAGAGUUUUGUAAAAAUCUCAUUGAGACAUAUUUGGCAAUAUUAAUAUAUAUGGAUUCGCGAUGUGGUCGCCAAACACACAUUGAUAUUAAUCAACAAUGGCGUAUGUGUAUUGAAAAAUAAAACAGAUCCUUACUCAUAUCAUCUACAAUAAUUAAUUAUUUAAUUAUAUUGGGCAUUGGGACUCAUACGCAAACGACACUGCAGCCAAAGCUUGUACGCACUCUUGAUGUCAUGGAUGUUACCACUGUUGUUGCCAACGGUCUAUCGCUCACUUGGGGGUGAUUUUUUUUUUUAUAAAAAAUAUGUUUGACCCUGCGGAUGUUUUACACCUUUACCAGACCAAUCGCCACGUAACAUGUAUCAGUGUCAAAUGACUAAGCAGACGAUGGGUACACCGUGCCUGAAUUGGCCUAAGCAAGCUGGCACCAAAAUGUAUCGUCUGCAGACUCCAGCUGCACCUUUAUUUCGCCCUGUGCAUUACGACAAUGUGGGCUUAGACGAUUUUGCCAUGGGCACUAAUGCAAUUUUGGCGGUUAUUUCUUACACCGGCUAUGAUAUGGAGGAUGCCAUGAUUAUAAAUAAAUAUGCCUAUGAACGUAAUUUCGCUCACGGUAGCAUCUAUAAAUCAAAAUUUUUUUAAUUGAGUGGAACUUGCUAUUUUGCUCGUAAAACGAUAUGCCUGUUAGUAAAGUGCCGAAAGAAUUCAUUUAUUGCUUGCUUGUUAUAUUAAGAGAAAAUAUGGUAAUAAAAGAGGAUUUGCAUUUGAUGUAUUUUCCUUCGCUAUUAUUUGCAGGCAGAUUUAAUAUAUUACGGGGUUGCAAAAAUCUUUCUAUUGCAUUUAUUUUCUACUACAUAUCUUGAGUUUUGCUUUAUCUCUGAAAGAAAAAUUUGCCCUG
Molecule: long non-coding RNA, 1953 nt
Organism: Glossina fuscipes
Lineage: Eukaryota; Metazoa; Arthropoda; Insecta; Diptera; Glossinidae
Exons: 4
Source: RefSeq, a predicted model, not a curated record